Molecule: ribosomal RNA, 465 nt
Filed under: uncultured bacterium
Lineage: Bacteria
Description: partial 16S ribosomal RNA
Rfam family: Bacterial small subunit ribosomal RNA
Source: RNAcentral
GAUGAACGCUGGCGGCGUGCUUAACACAUGCAAGUCGAACGGAAAGGCUCCUGCUUGCAGGGGUACUCGAGUGGCGAACGGGUGAGUAACACGUGGGUGAUCUGCCCUGCACUUCGGGAUAAGCCUGGGAAACUGGGUCUAAUACCGGAUAGGACCAUAUUUUGGAUGGUGCGGUGGAAAGUUUUUCGGUGUGGGAUGAGCUCGCGGCCUAUCAGCUUGUUGGUGGGGUAAUGGCCUACCAAGGCGUCGACGGGUAGCCGGCCUGAGAGGGUGUACGGCCACAUUGGGACUGAGAUACGGCCCAGACUCCUACGGGAGGCAGCAGUGGGGAAUAUUGCACAAUGGGCGCAAGCCUGAUGCAGCGACGCCGCGUGGGGGAUGACGGCCUUCGGGUUGUAAACUCCUUUCGCUAGGGACGAAGCGCAAGUGACGGUACCUGGAGAAGAAGCACCGGCUAACUACGUG